RNAcentral lists this ribosomal RNA (484 nucleotides) under uncultured bacterium. RNAcentral describes it as "partial 16S ribosomal RNA". It matches the Rfam family "Bacterial small subunit ribosomal RNA", at positions 34 to 507 of the family's 1533-position model. The record is from RNAcentral.
CUUUCCCUCUGGCGGCAUGCUUUACACAUGCAAGUCGAACGGCAGCGCGGGCUUCGGCCUGGCGGCGAGUGGCGAACGGGUGAGUAAUGCAUCGGAACGUGCCCAGUAGUGGGGGAUAGCCCGGCGAAAGCCGGAUUAAUACCGCAUACGACCUGAGGGUGAAAGCGGGGGACCGAAAGGCCUCGCGCUAUUGGAGCGGCCGAUGUCGGAUUAGCUAGUUGGUGGGGUAAAGGCUUACCAAGGCGACGAUCCGUAGCUGGUCUGAGAGGACGACCAGCCACACUGGGACUGAGACACGGCCCAGACUCCUACGGGAGGCAGCAGUGGGGAAUUUUGGACAAUGGGGGCAACCCUGAUCCAGCCAUGCCGCGUGCGGGAAGAAGGCCUUCGGGUUGUAAACCGCUUUUGUUCGGGAAGAAAUCCUCUGGGCUAAUACCCCGGGGGGAUGACGGUACCGGAAGAAUAAGCACCGGCUAACUACGUG